GGGGCUCCAGAACUGUCAUCACCCUCUGCCUCACUGAGGGCCACAACAGUGAUAGCACGUAGGAGCUGUUUUGCAUGGUCCAAACAUUGUGACUGAAGAAGUUUUGCUAAUGACCUGACAAAGAAAUCUUUAACACGGUGUGUUUUCAUCUUCAGGCAGUCCCACUGGCAUAUCAUCUUGAUGCAGAGCGCAACAUCAACCCUGAUAAAACAGGGGGGGAGUUUGGCAGACUGGGUUCCAAGAAGGACAUGAAAGCAUUCAUUAAGUCAGGAGCCUGACCACACCUGCGGAGGAGAAUUACUCACACCUGCAGCUGAUCAAGCCUCGUCAGAGGAGCUACUUAGGAGUGUGGUGGAGCUCUCUCCGAUGCUGGAUCAUUGCGUAACUUCACGUUAGUCUCUUGGCGAGUUAGUUAAGGUUAGUCUGCCGCAUUGUGGUGCUGCUGACGGCUGCCUCUUUGUUAUUCCCCAGGAGGAGUGUGGAGACGAGAGGGCAGCGAGCACGGGGUGCUCAGACACUGAGGAGACAAAGAACACUAACACUGGCAAGAGGACACGUCAGAGUCGGGAACGCACUGGGGAUUUAUUGUUGUUUGGAUUAUUUUGCAUCACUGUAAAUAAAUGCACUGACCUCAUCACAGAGUCCAGCAUUUGGGUCCUCCUUCCCCUCAUCAUAGUCUGCCACACAGGCCGUGACAGAAAAGCCCACUAAAAGAACGCCCACCAGACCAAAGCAAUGGUUUUGACUUGAUCAGCAUUAACCCCGCCCCCUGACUUUGAUGGGUGAAGCUGACAAAUAAAAUGUAUUUAUGAACAUCGAUGCAGGGCCAGGAGUAGCAACGUGAAUGAAAUAAAUACAUCAUUAAAUAAUUCAUUAAAUGUGUCAGUAAAAUAAUUAAAAUAGAAAACAAACCAAUAAUUGAUUAAAUAUGUAAUUAACUAAUUUGAAUUGUACAUAAACAAAUAAUGAAACAUUUUAAAUGAAAUUAAUGGAUAAUUCAUUAUUAAUAUAUUUCUUUAAUUGAUUAUGAACAUUUUUAAAUUAAUUACUGAAAUAAUUAAUUCAUUAGUGAUGUCUUUAUUUAAGACAACCAUAAAAUACCAUAAAAUAGCAAAUUUAUUCAAAAUAAAUUUAAGACAUCAAUAUUAAAGGUUAAAUUAUGAUAAUGAAUACAUGCAACUAUAACUGAUGACAUAAAAAUGAGGAUUUCUUAAGCUAAAGCCAAAGUGCUGACUCAUUUGGCAUGUUACUCUCAAA
Molecule: long non-coding RNA, 1257 nt
Organism: Oreochromis niloticus (Nile tilapia)
Lineage: Eukaryota; Metazoa; Chordata; Actinopteri; Cichliformes; Cichlidae
Exons: 2
Source: RefSeq, a predicted model, not a curated record